AGCUCAGUGUUUACAGAAAUUGCCUUCUUCAAACAAUAAGUUUACUUAUAAUUGUGAUCAUCAUACUUUUAACUUCCUUGUUGAAGAUGGUUAUGGUAAGUUAUCCUUUUAUCUUUCAGUUUUAGCCUCUCCUUUUUGUAUUGUUUUUAGUAUCUUUUACACUUUUUUUUAGUUGUAUUUGUUAUGGGUAUUGCUGGAUCUUGAGUGGUAGAGUGUAAAAAUGGAGUCUUUAUUGGAUUUUGUCGGUAGAGUUUUAGGAUUUUUAAAAAAAAAUUACAGUGUUGCUGGGAAUAAAGGGUAUCAUGGGUCUUGUGAAGAACUGGAGCCUUUAUUGGAUUCAGUUAUCCUUUUAACUUUCAGUUUUAGCUGUAGAAUUGUUUUUACUCUUUAUUUGUUUCAUUUUAGUUGGAUUUGAAAUGGGUAUUGCUGGAUCUCGAGUAGUAGAGUGUAAAUAUGGAGUCUUUAUGGAUUUUAUAAGUAGAGUUUUAGGAAAUUUAUUAAAUAAUUACAGUGUUGCUGUUGAAAUAUUGCUGGGAAGAAAGGGUAUUAUGGGUUUUGUGAAAAGCUGAGCCUUUAUUGGAAUCAGAGAUUGGAGUGCAUGUUUUCUUUUUCUUUAUGUUGAAAGAUUGCUUGGAAGAAAGGGUGAGUAUCGUGCUUCAGUUAAUUGGAUCUUUGGUGUUUGAGGGGCAAAAUUGAAAAUUCAGAAGAAGCUCCACAAUGACAAGUUUAGCAAGUUUUUGAAAUUCUUAAUAUUUUGUAGUCACAAGCACAUAUAAGUAAAGGGUUAAUGUAAAAAUAGGCAAAUGAUGAGAGAGGAAUGAAUGCAAAGGAUAUAGCUGACUCCGAUUAGUCUUGGGUUGAGGUUUUAAUUGCUACAUAUUUCUCUGCCAUACUUCCUAAGACAUUUACCUUCGUCGCCUUUGUUUCUAAGUCUGAAUGUUCUGUCACUUCUCUGCAUUUUAUUUUGUUACGAGAGAUGUCUAUGUAAAUAUAAAGCUGAGAAGUCGGUUUAAUACUUGAAACUUGGAAGUUAGUAUCAUGAGGUGAAAGCAGUAGAUAUAGGAUGUGAAAUGUCUAUGUGGAAUCAGUGAGAUUCGUGUAUCAACAGAUGGAAUGUUUGGGAAUUAACUGAUGGGAAGUGGGAGAACAACUUUGGCGGAUGUUGUGGCCUUCUGUUUGUCGAAUAGUCAAACAGAUUCUAAUGAAAUACUAUAAAAGAGGAGUUGUUUCCAGACUCAACGAUGGCACGUACUCCAUCCUAACGAAGUAUAAUUUGUUAUAUUUCAUUUACAAAUAACCAAUGAUGGAAUGCAGAAUUGUGAACCCUUUCUAUAGCUGUCACACGAUUAAGGUAGAACUUGGCUUUCUGAUCUCAAUGGAAGUUCUACACACAGCACUACGGGUCAAGAUUUUGUAAGCUGUAGGUUGAAGACGUUGAGUCUAAUGGACAGUCAAAUAGAGGGAAAUAAAUUGUCUUUGGAGGAUAAAUUCUUCUUACCUUGGGUCAUAUAGUAGAUUAGAUUGAGUGGAUGACUGGCGGUCUCUUACUAGUUCAUGGCUCCAGCCUCUGUACAUACCUCUGGUUUGGACUGCAGCCCCUGGGUGCUUUUCUAUCUGAAAAAGAAAAAGGUUGAAGAAGCCAAGUCAUAUUUUUUUUCUUUUUUUUUUUCUGGUAAAAAGGUUUCUCGACGAAUGAUUUCACAGAGACUUUCCACUUAAAUUGUAAAGUGAUAUCAUUAGAUAUUAUGUUUGAGCUUGCAUAGAAAAUGACGUUAAUCACUUUUUGGCUAUUUUCAUCGACCUCCUUUCACUUAAGUUCCUCCAACUGUCUUAUACUAUAGGUUGAUGCGACAGCUGAACCUUAUGCAAGUCUGAUUUAAUGCCUGUU
This 1888-nucleotide long non-coding RNA is filed under the name Nicotiana benthamiana. Its description in RNAcentral is "long non-coding RNA (NBEN_LNC042375)". The record is from RNAcentral. Lineage: Eukaryota; Viridiplantae; Streptophyta; Magnoliopsida; Solanales; Solanaceae.